This 104-nucleotide small RNA is filed under the name Salinicoccus kekensis. RNAcentral describes it as "RNA Staph. aureus E". It matches the Rfam family "RNA Staph. aureus E (RoxS)". From Rfam's summary of the family: It was shown to be regulated by the presence of nitric oxide (NO). In Bacillus subtilis it controls expression of genes with functions related to oxidative stress and oxidation-reduction reactions and it was renamed RoxS (for related to oxidative stress). The record is from RNAcentral. Lineage: Bacteria; Bacillati; Bacillota; Bacilli; Caryophanales; Staphylococcaceae.
AUGAAAAUUUUAUCACUGAAAAACAUACCCCUUUGUUAAAACAGUGAAAAAUUUCUCCCAUCCCCUUUGUUUGAGCAGCACACUAUAGAAGGUGUGCUGCUUUU